GAUGAAGAACGUAGCGAAAUGCGAUAAGUAAUGUGAAUUGCAGAAUUCAGUGAAUCAUCGAAUCUUUGAACGCACAUUGCGCCCCUUGGUAUUCCGAGGGGCAUGCCUGUUCGAGCGUCAUUUAAACCAAUCUAGCUUGCUAGGUCUUGGGCUUUCGCCUCUGGGCGGGCCUCAAAAUCAGUGGCGGUGCUGCCGGGCUUUAAGCGUAGUAAUCUUUCUCGCUAUAGGGUCCUGGUAGAGGCUUGCCAACAACUAUAAAUCUUUCAAAGGUUGACCUCGGAUCAGGUAGGGAUACCCGCUGAACUUAAGCAUAUCAAUAAGCGGAGGA
Molecule: unclassified non-coding RNA, 328 nt
Filed under: soil metagenome
Description: partial contains 5.8S ribosomal RNA, internal transcribed spacer 2, and large subunit ribosomal RNA
Rfam family: 5.8S ribosomal RNA (bases 1-120)
Source: RNAcentral